This 292-nucleotide ribosomal RNA is filed under the name uncultured Planctomycetota bacterium. RNAcentral's name for it is "uncultured planctomycete partial 16S ribosomal RNA". Lineage: Bacteria; Pseudomonadati; Planctomycetota. The record is from RNAcentral.
GGACUACACGGGUUUCUAAUCCCGUUUGCUCCCCUAGCUUUCGCGCCUCAGCGUCAGAAGAGGUCCAGUGCGUCGCUUUCGCCUCCGGCGUUCCUCACAAUAUCAACGCAUUUCACCGCUCCACUGUGAGUUCCACACACCCCUACCUCCCUCCAGACAACCAGUAUCAAAGGCACUUCUCCAGUUAAGCUGGAGGAUUUCACCCCUGACUUGAUCGACCGCCUACGCGCCCUUUAAGCCCAGUGAUUCCGAACAACGUUAGGACAGUUCGUCUUACCGCGGCGGCUGGCAC